AUACGGAGGGUGCAAGCGUUAAUCGGAAUUACUGGGCGUAAAGCGUGCGUAGGUGGUUUGUUAAGUUAGAUGUGAAGGCCCCGGGCUCAACCUGGGAACUGCAUUUGAAACUGGCAUACUAGAGUAUAGGAGAGGAAAGUGGAAUUUCAGGUGUAGCGGUGAAAUGCGUAGAUAUCUGAAGGAACAUCAAUGGCGAAGGCAGCUUUCUGGACUAAUACUGACACUGAGGUACGAAAGCGUGGGUAGCAAACGGGAUUAGAAACCCUAGUAGUCC
This 274-nucleotide ribosomal RNA is filed under the name uncultured bacterium. RNAcentral's name for it is "partial 16S ribosomal RNA". It matches the Rfam family "Bacterial small subunit ribosomal RNA", at positions 523 to 796 of the family's 1533-position model. The record is from RNAcentral.